AAGAUCUCUGGUUGUCGUCUAAUGUCCAGUCCGGGACCACGCCUGCUACCUAACGCCACGACAGCGUAACGGCUGCGCUCCGUUAGUGCGGACGUUAACCGCGACCCACUGUUUGCGUCGACCUGAGGAACACGUGGCCUAGGCUCUUGGUGCUUUUCGGGGCCCGCAGGUCAAUUUUGUUUUUUGUUCUUUUCUGGUGGCGGUUGGACACGUGGUGGUGUAGAAUCGAUUGUCAGCACAUGCAGCUGAAACUGGAUGAUGUGCCUUUGACGGUUGGAUGAUUAACCGUGGUUACUUGGCUAUGCUUUAGUUGGUUAAUAAUCCAUAUGGACGAAUUUG
Molecule: long non-coding RNA, 339 nt
Filed under: Citrus sinensis (sweet orange)
Lineage: Eukaryota; Viridiplantae; Streptophyta; Magnoliopsida; Sapindales; Rutaceae
Description: long non-coding RNA (CSIN_LNC003900)
Source: RNAcentral